Clupea harengus (Atlantic herring) is the source of this 987-nucleotide long non-coding RNA. The record is from Ensembl. Lineage: Eukaryota; Metazoa; Chordata; Actinopteri; Clupeiformes; Clupeidae.
GUAACACAAGGCCACUGAGCAGCAGGUCUGAUGCCCACGGAGGAGGAGCCUUCAGGCAUAAAAAGAUCUUGUCACCGUUGUCAGGUCCUUUCUAUCCUGCAGACUCGUCUGCCCGAAGGAUCUUGGGUGAAUAGCUUACCUUAGCAUUUUACAAAUACAUGUAAAAACCGUAACGAAGAAAAACUUCAGCCUGCAAGUCACAGGAAUGAUAAUAAAAAUAAGGGAAAACGUCAUCAUGCUUUUCGAGGGAAUGAAUGGCAUUAUUUUCGAUGUCUUGAGAUGCACUAGGUAUCUUAUUUGUCGAUGAGAAAACCACACCUAAUUUGUGUUCCUCACACAGGGCCAUGGAGACGUUCUUCGCGUUGAAGAUGCCAUAGAGCCUCAUUCUUUCUGCUUGCACUCUUUAUGACUUUGAAGGAGGGGAGAAAAAGCCUUCUACUCCCAAGGGUAAGGUCACUUGGACCUUGUGUGCUUUAGUCCGGUGAUGUCAGCGGAGGAUCCCGACUCGUCGAGGUUCCCCGUCGGCCCCCGGUCUGGAGGCACAGGUCUCUAGUGAGCAGCGCCUGGUGUCCCCAUCGACUGCUGACGAAGCAACAGACCAAAGAAGCAACCCAUGCAAGAAGCAACCACAACAAACAAAGCAAACAAACAAACAAAGCAAACAAACAAACAAACAAACAAACCACGAAAAAGUUUAAAAGCUUAAAAUGUUAAAGUUACCCUCUACAGGGUGGCUUCUAGUUGUCUGUUGCUUGGUUGGUGGGUCGAGGGGACCCAUUCGUGAAACACACCCCGACAGUUUCUAAUAAGUAAUGCUGUACGCUUGUUUUCCUUACAAAAAAAAUUAAUAAAAAUGGCAAAAGCUGUAACGGAAACCUUUUUGUGUGUCUGUGAACUUCUUUCUACUUACUGCACGUGCAGGUUUCUGUCUCCAAGAAGAGACUCUGAUGGCAAGUAAAGACAUUUCAAACUUGAACAUACUAGCUC